Molecule: unclassified non-coding RNA, 268 nt
Filed under: uncultured fungus
Lineage: Eukaryota; Fungi
Description: partial contains 5.8S ribosomal RNA, internal transcribed spacer 2, and large subunit ribosomal RNA
Source: RNAcentral
AACGCACAUUGCGCCCGCUAGUAUUCUGGCGGGCAUGCCUGUUCGAGCGUCAUUUCAGCCCUCAAGCACUGCUUGUUGUUGGGGAUCCGCGCUAUUGGCGGUCUCCUAAAGACAGUGGCGGUCCCGUGCAAGGCCCCGAGCGUAGUAGCUUAAUCUCUCGCUUUCGGGCUCUGGCGGGUGCUUGCCGUCCUUAAAUCGGAGAGUUCCUACGGACUUUACGAAAAACUUUUUUGACCUCGGAUCAGGUAGGAGUACCCGCUGAACUUAA